ACGGAAGGCAGCAGUGGGGGAUAUUGCACAAUGGAGGAAACUCUGAUGCAGCAACGCCGCGUGAAGGAAGAAGGCCUUCGGGUUGUAAACUUCUGUCCUUGGUGACGAUAAUGACGGUAGCCAAGGAGGAAGCCACGGCUAACUACGUGCCAGCAGCCGCGGUAAUACGUAGGUGGCAAGCGUUGUCCGGAAUUACUGGGUGUAAAGGGUGCGUAGGCGGCUCAUAAAGUCAGAUGUGAAAUACCGAGGCUUAACCUCGGAGCUGCAUUUGAAACUUAUGAGCUUGAGUGAAGUAGAGGUAAGCGGAAUUCCUAGUGUAGCGGUGAAAUGCGUAGAUAUUAGGAGGAACACCAGUGGCGAAGGCGGCUUACUGGGCUUUAACUGACGCUGAGGCACGAAAGCAUGGGUAGCAAACAGGAUUAGAUACCCUGGUA
RNAcentral lists this ribosomal RNA (434 nucleotides) under uncultured Oscillospiraceae bacterium. RNAcentral describes it as "bacterial SSU rRNA". It matches the Rfam family "Bacterial small subunit ribosomal RNA", at positions 341 to 792 of the family's 1533-position model. The record is from RNAcentral. Lineage: Bacteria; Bacillati; Bacillota; Clostridia; Eubacteriales; Oscillospiraceae.